CUUAGUACGGCGAGUGAGCGGUAAAAGCUCAAAUUUGAAAUCUGGUACUUUCAGUGCCCGAGUUGUAAUUUGUAGAAUUUGUCUUUGAUUAGGUCCUUGUCUAUGUUCCUUGGAACAGGACGUCAUAGAGGGUGAGAAUCCCGUUUGGCGAGGAUACCUUUUCUCUGUAAGACUUUUUCGAAGAGUCGAGUUGUUUGGGAAUGCAGCUCAAAGUGGGUGGUAAAUUCCAUCUAAAGCUAAAUAUUGGCGAGAGACCGAUAGCGAACAAGUACAGUGAUGGAAAGAUGAAAAGAACUUUGAAAAGAGAGUGAAAAAGUACGUGAAAUUGUUGAAAGGGAAGGGCAUUUGAUCAGACAUGGUGUUUUUUGCAUGCACUCGCCUCUCGUGGGCUUGGGCCUCUCAAAAAUUUCACUGGGCCAACAUCAAUUCUGGCAGCAGGAUAAAUCAUUAAGAAUGUAGCUACUUCGGUAGUGUUAUAGCUUUUUGGAAUACUGUUAGCCGGGAUUGAGGACUGCGCUUCGGCAAGGAUGUUGGCAUAAUGGUUAAAUGCCGCCCGUC
This 558-nucleotide ribosomal RNA is filed under the name Hanseniaspora uvarum. RNAcentral describes it as "partial large subunit ribosomal RNA". It matches the Rfam family "Eukaryotic large subunit ribosomal RNA", at positions 79 to 653 of the family's 3401-position model. Lineage: Eukaryota; Fungi; Ascomycota; Saccharomycetes; Saccharomycodales; Saccharomycodaceae. The record is from RNAcentral.